Molecule: ribosomal RNA, 465 nt
Filed under: uncultured bacterium
Lineage: Bacteria
Description: partial 16S ribosomal RNA
Rfam family: Bacterial small subunit ribosomal RNA
Source: RNAcentral
CCUACGGGCGGCAGCAGUGGGGAAUAUUGCGCAAUGGGCGAAAGCCUGACGCAGCGACGCCGCGUGAGGGCUGAAGGUCUUCGGAUCGUAAACCUCUGUCAGCAGGGAAGAACGGUCACUGUGCUAAUCAGCAGUGAAUUGACGGUACCUGCAAAGGCAGCACCGGCUAACUCCGUGCCAGCAGCCGCGGUAAUACGGAGGGUGCGAGCGUUAAUCGGAAGUACUGGGCGUAAAGCGCUCGUAGGCGGUAUGUCACGUCAAGGGUGAAAUCCCCGCGCGCAACGUGGGAACUGCCUUUGAAACUGGCAAACUGGAGUGUGUGAGAGGAUAGGGGAAUUCCAGGUGUAGGAGUGAAAUCCGUAGAUAUCUGGAGGAACAUCAGUGGCGAAGGCGACUAUCUGGCACAUAACUGACGCUGAGGAGCGAAAGCGUGGGUAGCAAACAGGAUUAGAUACCCCGGUAGUC